RNA transcript from Sciurus carolinensis (gray squirrel), 948 nucleotides. It is a transcript of the gene named nudix hydrolase 15, with no coding region annotated. The record is from RefSeq and is a predicted model, not a curated record. NCBI's taxonomy places the organism in Eukaryota, Metazoa, Chordata, Mammalia, Rodentia, Sciuridae. The transcript is spliced from 5 exons.
GCGCACAUCACUUCCGGCCCGGCCCGGGCUCUAUGAUGUCCAGCGCGGAGCCGCUGGGGCGGCGGCGGCCCGGGGUGGGGGUCGGAGUGGUGGUGACCAGCCGCGAGCAUCCUCGUUGCGUCCUCCUGGGUAAGAGGAAAGGGUCCUUUGGAGCCGGCAGUUUUCAGCUUCCGGGGGGUCAUCUGGAGUUCGGUGAGACCUGGGAAGAAUGUGCGCAAAGAGAAACCUGGGAAGAAGCAGCUCUUCACCUGAAAAAUGUCCGAUUUGCCUCGGUGGUGAAUUCUUUCACUGAGAAAGAGAAUUACCAUUACGUCACCAUAUUAAUGAAAGGAGAAGUAGAUUUGACUCAUGAUUCAGAACCAAAGAAUGUAGAACCUGAAAAAAAUGAAAGCAGAGAAACACUUAGUCGAAGAAAAAGCACUCAUACAAAGGUUGGGAAUGGGUUCCUUGGGAAGAAUUUCCUCCAGUAGACCAGCUCUUCUGGGCACUCCGAUGUUUAAAAGAGCAAGGCUAUGAUCCAUUUAAAGAAGAUCUGAACCAUCUGCUUAUUACUACAGAAGGAAGACCAUGAUCAGAAACAGCAUUAGUGGGGAAUCAAAACCUAGAAUUGUGGGCUGAAUUGUGUCCCUCCCCUCCAAAACUGAUCUAUUGAAGUCCUAAAGCCCAGCAUCUCAGAAUGUGACCAUAUUUGGAAAGAGUCUUGUAAAAGGUAACUGAGGUAAAAUGAGGUCUUAUGGGUCCAAUAAGAAGAGAUUGCCCUUCAAAGAGAUGAGGGCACAGAUACAGACCAACAGACCAUCUUCAAGCCAAGGGAUCUUUGGGACUCUUUGCUGAAGUGCCCUUAACAGUUGGGAUGAUUUGCUAGAGUGACCUUAACAAUAUGGACCAUCUGCAAGCCAAGGACAGAAGUCUCAGAAGAAACUAUACUUCCAACACCUUCAUCUUGAA